GAAGAUCAUCUGAUAAAUGGCUCUUCAAAGUAUAUCUUAAAUCAGAAAUGACCUAAGAAAUUCCGAUUGUUGGUAAAUUAAUUUAAAAAGAACUUAAUGGAAAGGGGCUUCAAGAUGGCUGAGUAGAGCCGCCUGGCAUUUGCCUCCUCCACAAAAAAGGACCAAAACAAUACAAGCAUAGAAGCCAAAUUUGGAACUACUAGAGCCUCUUGGGAAUGUAGCCCAAUGGGAGGAAAGCAGACAUAUGGAAGAGAGUUUUAGGAUAUUUAUGCUUCUUCACAAACAACACAUGUUUCCAGAUUUAAAAAGCUUUGGAACCCGGUUGAUUUUCAGAAUGCUAUCAAUUUUAGUACGAUUGCGCAAACAGAACCAAAGAAAUGUAAUCGUAUCUUGAACAAGAUCUUUGAUCACUUAAUUGAUGAAUUAAAGACUCUCAAAGGCUGUGCACCAGGUGGAAUGCUUCAGAUGUACCGGUAAUUUUAGAAGUGCUUUGUUAUUAGUUCCUUAUUUCCAGCCGUCCUGCAAAAGGUAUUUCGAAAUGUAUAUUAAAGUCAAAACCAA
Molecule: long non-coding RNA, 561 nt
Organism: Homo sapiens (human)
Lineage: Eukaryota; Metazoa; Chordata; Mammalia; Primates; Hominidae
Exons: 3
Source: RefSeq, a predicted model, not a curated record